AUGCAAUGGCGAGCGCUCGUCCUGGGGCUGGUGCUCCUCCGGCUUGGCCUCCAUGGAGUAUUGUGGCUCGUCUUCGGGCUGGGGCCCAGCAUGGGCUUCUACCAGCGCUUUCCGCUCAGCUUCGGCUUCCAGCGUCUGAGGAACCCCGACGGCCCCGCGUCGCCCGCCUCGGGGCCCGUGGGCCGGCCUGGGGGGCUAUCCGGGCCGUCGUGGCUGCAGCCGCCGGGGACCGGGGCAGCGCAGAGCCCGCGCAAGGCUCCGCGGCGUCCUGGGCCGGGGAUGUGCGGCCCAGCCCACUGGGGCUACGUGCUGGGCGGCCGGGGCCGCGGCCCGGACGAGUACGAGAAGCGCUACAGCGGCGCCUUCCCUCCGCAGCUGCGUGCCCAGAUGCGCGACCUGGCACGGGGCAUGUUCGUCUUUGGCUACGACAACUACAUGGCUCACGCCUUCCCCCAGGACGAGCUCAACCCCAUCCACUGCCGCGGCCGUGGGCCCGACCGCGGGGACCCUUCAAAUCUGAACAUCAAUGAUGUACUGGGGAACUACUCAUUGACUCUUGUUGAUGCAUUGGAUACACUUGCAGUA
This 585-nucleotide small RNA is filed under the name Pongo abelii (Sumatran orangutan). RNAcentral's name for it is "retained intron". Lineage: Eukaryota; Metazoa; Chordata; Mammalia; Primates; Hominidae. The record is from RNAcentral.